AACGCGAAGAACCUUACCUACCCUUGACAUGUACGGAAGCCUCCAGAGAUGGGGGUGUGCCCGAAAGGGAGCCGUAACACAGGUGCUGCAUGGCUGUCGUCAGCUCGUGUCGUGAGAUGUUGGGUUAAGUCCCGCAACGAGCGCAACCCUUGUCCCUAGUUGCUACGCAAGGGCACUCUAGGGAGACUGCCGGUGACAAACCGGAGGAAGGUGGGGAUGACGUCAAGUCCUCAUGGCCCUUAUGGGUAGGGCUUCACACGUCAUACAAUGGCCGGUACAGAGGGUUGCCAAAGCGCGAGCUGGAGCCAAUCCCAGAAAGCCGGUCGUAGUCCGGAUUGCAGUCUGCAACUCGACUGCAUGAAGUCGGAAUCGCUAGUAAUCGCGGAUCAGCAUGUCGCGGUGAAUACGUUCCCGGGUCUGUACACACCG
RNAcentral lists this ribosomal RNA (429 nucleotides) under uncultured bacterium. RNAcentral describes it as "bacterial SSU rRNA". It matches the Rfam family "Bacterial small subunit ribosomal RNA", at positions 958 to 1392 of the family's 1533-position model. The record is from RNAcentral.